UCAGGCCUAACACAUGCAAGUCGAGGGGUAGAAGGAGCUUGCUCCUUUGAGACCGGCGCACGGGUGCGUAACGCGUAUGCAACCUACCUUUAUCAGGGGGAUAGCCUCUCGAAAGAGAGAUUAAUACCGCAUGAUCUCGCAAGAGCAAAGAGGGGGACCGCAAGGCCUCUCGCUUUUGGAGGAACCUACGUCGGAUUAGCUAGUUGGUGAGGUAACGGCUCACCAAGGCGACGAUCCGUAACUGGUCUGAGAGGAUGAUCAGUCACACCGGAACUGAGACACGGUCCGGACUCCUACGGGAGGCAGCAGUGGGGAAUAUUGGACAAUGGGCGAAAGCCUGAUCCAGCAAUACCGCGUGUGUGAAGAAGGCCUUCGGGUUGUAAAGCACUGUAAGUGGGAAGAAAAAGCUUCACCUAAUAC
RNAcentral lists this ribosomal RNA (420 nucleotides) under uncultured bacterium. RNAcentral describes it as "bacterial SSU rRNA". It matches the Rfam family "Bacterial small subunit ribosomal RNA", at positions 42 to 466 of the family's 1533-position model. The record is from RNAcentral.